Molecule: long non-coding RNA, 1121 nt
Organism: Bos taurus (domestic cattle)
Lineage: Eukaryota; Metazoa; Chordata; Mammalia; Artiodactyla; Bovidae
Source: Ensembl
GCAUGAUUGCCUGACCAGCAUCAGAUGCUGCUGGCUUCUUGUCCAAACAAGAGGGCCCCCGGGGUCCCAUGAGGCCAGGGAAGGGGGGUGGAUGGGAAGGAGGUGGGUCCCAGCCAUCUCAUUUCUAGCCUCUCUCCAGGGGUUCUGGAGGAUCUUAGGGCCUGCUGGGAUUUCUGCAUCAAUAUUUACCAGGGAUAUUGGUUUAGUUCUCUAUACUAUCUCUGUCUGAUUUGGAUUUAACAACAUAACAUGGACCUCAUGGAAUGGGUUUGGAAGUGUCCUCUCCUCUUGAACUCUCUGGAAGAGUUUAAGAAGGAUUGGUGUUAAUUUUCAGAUGCUUGGUAGAAUUCACCACUGAAGCCACCUGGUCCUGGGCUUUUCUCUGUUGGGAUGUUGGAUUAAUGAUUCAACCUCCUUAUUCAUUGGAAGUCUGAUUUUCUAUUUCUUCCUGAUUCAGUCUUGUUCUCUGACCAGGGAUCAAACCCAUGUCCUCUGCACUGGAACCUCAGAGUCUUAUCCACUGGACCACCAGGGAAGUCCCCAUCCUCGUGUGUUAAGGAGGGGAGAGGCUCCCUGGAUGAGGACUCACUGGAGACAGAGACAGUGUCUGAUUCAGGGAGACCCGGUAACAACGUCCCUUGAACCCCAGGACCUGCCGACUGGAAUCUGGCCCCCACCUGCCCCUGCAGCUUCAGUCAUCAUAAUUGAGUCCCUGGCAGCUGUGCCCAGAUGCAGCUUCUACAAACAGGAAUUUGCCCCAAAUUUGCUCUGAGCAUCUCCCCUGGAUCAAGCCCAAGAUCCCUGAGGCUGGUCAGGGCAGCACAUAACUCAGUGACCUCUGCUCACUGUCUCUGCUGGUGACAACGGAAGAUGCAGAGGGGAAAGAAGGAGAACUUACUCCUGCAUUCAUUUGUUCAUUUAUUCAACACAUUUUUGUUGAGUCCCUACUUUAUGUUAGACAGUUUUAUUCUCUGGAACGCAAUCUUGAAUAAAACAGACCGAACUCUCAGCCCUCAUGGAGAAUAUAUUCAAAAGGUGAAACAGACAUUUAUUAGAUAAAAUAUACAAGGUCGGCUGGUGAUUGGCACCCUGGGGAAGGAUGAAGGAGCAGGGGGCACGGC